RNAcentral lists this long non-coding RNA (600 nucleotides) under Pan troglodytes (chimpanzee). Its description in RNAcentral is "long non-coding RNA NONPTRT005374". The record is from RNAcentral. Lineage: Eukaryota; Metazoa; Chordata; Mammalia; Primates; Hominidae.
CAAUACACCUUGAGAAACAUGUAUCUAUUCAGUGUUUGGAGAAACCAGGAGGAGUGAGCAAUGAUUGUUAAUAGCUGAAGAUAAAUGAGCAGGCCAUCUAACGCUGGUCAUAUAAUUGGGAUACAUUUGGUUAAACCAAGCUCAAAAGUUUCCCUGCCCAUGUGUCCUCCUGGCUUUGACUGUGGCUGCUGUUCCUGCAUCGUUUACUGUCUUUCCUGCCUCAGGGACUGAAUUGUGUUUGCUUCAAGUUGUGACAAGUUGUCUUCCUUACGAAGGGGUGAUCCAAGCUUUCCCCUAUACUUUUCCCCAGGCUUCCACAUCCGGUUCCUGACCUUUCCUGCCCUCUAGUGGCCAUGAGCCACACUACCAUCCUUGGCUGUGGAAUCUGCACACAGUUGGUAAAGUUUGACAGAUUAGAAUAUUUUAUGUGAAUUUCUAUUAUUCAAAUGCCAUGAUAUUAUAACCCUGAUCUUCCAUUGACAUUACCCCACAAUUAAAACACACAUCCAUGAGAGGUGAAAUCCACAACUCAAGUGGACUUAGAUUCAGAUAAAACUACCCCACUUAAUAGUUUAAGUAUAAUCUAAGAAUGUUUACACA